Molecule: long non-coding RNA, 885 nt
Organism: Orcinus orca (killer whale)
Lineage: Eukaryota; Metazoa; Chordata; Mammalia; Artiodactyla; Delphinidae
Exons: 3
Source: RefSeq, a predicted model, not a curated record
UCUUGCUAGGGAAAGGUGCCCUCUUUAGGCGUCGGUGCUCCCCGCGCCGCCCAGGAAGUAGGGUGAGCCAUCCUCACACACCGCAGCCCAACCUGGACGCCAGUGGCUGGGCACCCCGGGCCGGGAUCAGCGCGAGCAGCCGGCUCCCAAGCGCUCCGUGUCGCCAUGAACACGCCCUCCAGCUUCGGUUUCGCGUUCGCGAGCCGAUGCCGGUUCACCAGGGGAGCGCAGAGCGUUCAGCUCUGCCUUUGCUAGUGCACCAGGAUUGCAAAUGUCAGCUCUGAAAUUAAGCAGGUCUCCCUGCCCCCUACCCCGCGUUCCUGUGGCUGGGAAGUUUUGUGUGAGAACUAGACCGGCCUUCAGUUCAAUUUCAGAUUUAAGGUUUCCAGGGGCCUGGAGUUGGAAUCUCCUUGGGGAAGCUGGGCUUCCUGCCUAGCCGAGCCAAAGCAAGUCACCCUCAAAGGCAGAUCAGCAAACACGUAAAAAAAAAAAAAGAAAAAGAAAAAGAGAAAAAAGAAGGAAAGAAAAAAAGAAAAAUGCCAGGAGACUCUCCCCACUGGCUGUGAAGAAGCCAUGAAUGUUGUGAGCUGCCCUGUGGAGGAAGCCACAUAGCAAGGAACUGAGAAUAGCAGUUUCUAACUGACAGUCAGUUAGAAACUGAGGUCUUCUGUCCUACAGCUUGUAAGAAAUGGAUGCUGCCAACAGUCAUGUGGCCCUGGAAGAGGAUCUUUCCCCAGUCAAAACUUGAAGUGAGACUGCAGCCCUGGCCAGCACCUCCAUUGCAGCUUUCAAAUGAGACUCUGAAAUGGAGAACCUAACAAAAUAAAGCCUGGACUCUUGAUCCACAGAAACUGUGAUAUAAUAAAUGUGUGUUGUUUUAAGGUG